RNAcentral lists this long non-coding RNA (962 nucleotides) under Rattus norvegicus (Norway rat). RNAcentral's name for it is "long non-coding RNA NONRATT023161". The record is from RNAcentral. Lineage: Eukaryota; Metazoa; Chordata; Mammalia; Rodentia; Muridae.
CGCUGGGAUGCCGUGGGCUGUGGGCCGGCGGUGGGCAUGGAUCACCCUGUUUCUGACUAUUGUGGCGGUGCUGAUCCAGGCGGUCUGGCUGUGGCUGGGUACUCAGAGCUUCGUCUUCCAGAGAGAAGAGAUAGCUCAGCUUGCUCGACAGUACGCAGGGCUGGACCAUGAGCUGGCCUUCUCUCGGCUGAUCGUGGAGCUGCGGAGGCUGCACCCAGGCCACGUGCUGCCGGAUGAGGAGCUGCAGUGGGUGUUUGUGAACGCGGGCGGCUGGAUGGGCGCCAUGUGUCUUUUGCACGCCUCGCUGUCUGAGACGAUACUGGGCUGAGAUUUCAGAUACCAUCAUCUCUGGCACUUUCCACCAGUGGAGAGAGGGCACCACAAAAAGUGAGGUCUAUUACCCAGGAGAGACGGUUGUCCAUGGACCUGGAGAGGCAACAGCUGUGGAGUGGGGACCAAACACGUGGAUGGUGGAGUAUGGCCGGGGUGUUAUUCCGUCUACCCUGGCAUUUGCACUUAGUGACACUAUUUUCAGCACCCAGGACUUCCUCACCCUCUUCUAUACCCUUCGCGCCUAUGCCCGGGGCCUCCGGCUUGAGCUCACCACCUACCUCUUUGGCCAAGACCCCUGACCAGACAGGCUGAAGGAAGACCUGCGAGUGGACAGGAGCGGGCAGGACCACAUCCAUUUCUCUACUCGCUGGGACUCAUGUUCACUGACAGCAGCAUAUACCAUGCAGAUAAUUAAGUUCCUGCUGUGUGAGGAAGGACAUACAUACACAUACAUCCAGACACAGCUCUUGGGGAGCAAUGAGACGCAGAGAUGCUAAGACUUGUAUGUACUGUAAGAUCAUGCACUCACCUCCAUCCAGAGAGGGUCCCCGACGUAUACUCCAGGGGGGCGCCCAGUCAUGUUUGAACACAUACCACGAGCUUGACUCACCUGACUCAGGCUUUUCCAG